UUGACGCUAGCGGCAGGCAUAAUACAUGCAAGUUGAACGGCAGCACAGGUAGCAAUACCGGGUGGCGAGUGGCGCACGGGUGCGUAACACGUAUGCAACCUACCCUAUACAGGCGAAUAACCUUUAGAAAUGAGGGCUAAUACGCCGUGGUAUUAUCUUGGGGCAUCUUGAGAUAAUUAAAGAUUUAUCGGUAUAGGAUGGGCAUGCGUCCCAUUAGUUAGUUGGUAGGGUAACGGCCUACCAAGGCUAUGAUGGGUAGGGG
RNAcentral lists this ribosomal RNA (262 nucleotides) under uncultured bacterium. RNAcentral describes it as "partial 16S ribosomal RNA". It matches the Rfam family "Bacterial small subunit ribosomal RNA", at positions 32 to 289 of the family's 1533-position model. The record is from RNAcentral.